RNAcentral lists this ribosomal RNA (235 nucleotides) under uncultured bacterium. Its description in RNAcentral is "partial 16S ribosomal RNA". It matches the Rfam family "Bacterial small subunit ribosomal RNA", at positions 103 to 334 of the family's 1533-position model. The record is from RNAcentral.
CGGGUGAGUAACACGUGAGUAACCUGCCCUGCGCUGGGGGAUAACCCUCGGAAACGGGGGCUAAUACCGGAUGGUCACAUGGGUUCGCAUGGGUCUGUGUGGAAAGAGCUUCGGUUUGGCGUGGGAUGGGCUCGCGGCCUAUCAGCUUGUUGGUGGGGUGAUGGCCUACCAAGGCGAGGACGGGUAGCCGGCCUGAGAGGGCGACCGGCCACACUGGGACUGAGACACGGCCCAG